Molecule: ribosomal RNA, 429 nt
Filed under: uncultured bacterium
Lineage: Bacteria
Description: bacterial SSU rRNA
Rfam family: Bacterial small subunit ribosomal RNA
Source: RNAcentral
UGGGGAAUAUUGGGCAAUGGGCGCAAGCCUGACCCAGCGACGCCGCGUGGGUGAUGAAGGCCUUCGGGUCGUAAAGCCCUGUCGGGUGGAAAGAACGGUAUCUGAGCGAAUAGCCGAGAUACGUGACGGUACCACCGAAGGAAGCACCGGCCAAUUCCGUGCCAGCAGCCGCGGUAAGACGGAAGGUGCAAGCGUUGCUCGGAAUCAUUGGGCGUAAAGGGUGCGUAGGCGGCUUGGUAAGUCGGGUGUGAAAGCCCUGGGCUCAGCCCAGGAAGGGCACUCGAAACUGCCGAGCUGGAGUGCCGGAGGGGAGAGUGGAAUUCCUGGUGUAGCGGUGAAAUGCGUAGAGAUCAGGAGGAAUACCGGUGGCGAAAGCGACUCUCUGGACGGCAACUGACGCUGAGGCACGAAAGCGUGGGGAGCAAACAG